UUAAAGCUAGCCUAUAAUAUUAAUUCAACUAGACCUUAUAAAUCUAAUAUAUAUAUUACAAUUUUUAAUCAAAACAUUCUCAACCUUCUAGUAUGGGUGACAGAACAAUAACCUCAGCGCAAUAGCUUAUGUACCGCAAGGGAAAGCUGAAAAAGAAAUGAAACAAAUCAUUAAAGUACUAAAAAGCAGAGAUUAUACCUCGUACCUUUUGCAUCAUGAUUUAGCUAGAAAAACUAGGCAAAAAGACCUUAAGUCUAUCUCCCCGAAACUAAACGAGCUACUCCGAAGCAGCAUUACAAGAGCCAACCCGUCUCUGUGGCAAAAGAGUGGGAAGACUUCCGAGUAGCGGUGAAAAGCCUACCGAGUUUAGUGAUAGCUGGUUACCCAAGAAAAGAACUUCAGUUCUGCAUUAAUUUUUCACUAUCUAAACAAGACUUACUCGUCAAAGAAAUCUAUAAGAAUUAAUAGUUAUUUAGAAGAGGUACAACCCUUCUAAACCAAGACACAACUUUUUAAGGUGGGAAAUGAUCAUAAUUAUUAAGGUUACCAUCUCAGUGGGCCUAAAAGCAGCCAUCUGUCAAGUAAGCGUCGCAGCUCUAAUCUAAUAAUUAAACCUCUAAUUCAGAUAUCCAUUCAUAACCCCCUUUAUCCUAUUGGGUUAUUUUAUAUUUAUAUAAAAGAACUUAUGCUAAAAUGAGUAAUAAAGAGAACAAAUCUCUCCCGACACAAGUGUAUGUCAGAAAGAAUUAAAUCACUGAUAAUUAAACGACCCCAAACUGAGGUCAUUAUAUUACUUAAUCAUUAACUAGAAAAUCCUAUUCUCUUACCCGUUAUCCCUACACAGGAGUGUCAUCAGGAAAGA
RNAcentral lists this ribosomal RNA (862 nucleotides) under Carcharhinus acronotus (blacknose shark). Its description in RNAcentral is "partial 16S ribosomal RNA". The stretch from base 189 to 693 matches the Rfam family "Bacterial large subunit ribosomal RNA", at positions 573 to 1301 of the family's 2925-position model. Lineage: Eukaryota; Metazoa; Chordata; Chondrichthyes; Carcharhiniformes; Carcharhinidae. The record is from RNAcentral.